UGGAAAAAUGUUUCGUUGUCUGCUGCAAUGCAGAACAUAUGUCCAUAAAUUUUCUCCCGGUUACGGUAAAACAGCUUAAUUUAAUCCUUUCUUUCAAUGUGUCUGAAAUGUUGCCAAAGAAAGUUGUAGUUUGUCAGCCAAGGAAGGAGUCCUUUGAAAACUAUCAACAUUAUACAGGAAGAUUUACCAAAAAUACUUAGGAGGUUCUGCUCAUCUCAAAUCUGCAGAUAAUAGUGACGCCACGUGUUUGGUUCCCCCCAAAGGACCAGAGUUAAUUCUGCCCCUGACAGCCAGCACUGUGUACUAAGCCUUUUCUGGAUGCUGGAAAUUGAUUAGUGUGCAGAAGACUUGCCCGUGCCCGUCUCUGUCUCGCACGUUCCCUCCUCCCCUCCAGCCCUGCACAGGACUGUCUGUCCAUCUCCGGUAUGUUGAGCCAAUCAGCCAGGCGCUCCACACACGCUUAAUGAGCUCACGAGGGACGUGACAUGACUGCAGCGACAAGCGUUCACCGCCUUCCCCAAAAAAGAAAAAAAAAAAAAAAAAAUCAGCAUCCA
Molecule: long non-coding RNA, 554 nt
Organism: Poeciliopsis prolifica (blackstripe livebearer)
Lineage: Eukaryota; Metazoa; Chordata; Actinopteri; Cyprinodontiformes; Poeciliidae
Exons: 3
Source: RefSeq, a predicted model, not a curated record